Molecule: ribosomal RNA, 628 nt
Filed under: Lulworthiaceae sp.
Lineage: Eukaryota; Fungi; Ascomycota; Sordariomycetes; Lulworthiales; Lulworthiaceae
Description: SSU rRNA
Rfam family: Eukaryotic small subunit ribosomal RNA
Source: RNAcentral
GUUAAAAAGCUCGUAGUUGAACCUUGGUCCCGCGCCCGCCGGUCCGCCUCACCGCGUGCACUGGUGCGGCCGGGGCUUUCUCCUGGGGGUCCGCAUGCCCUUAGCUGGGCGUGCGAGGAACCAGGGCGAUUACUGUGAAAAAAUUAGAGUGUUCAAAGCAGGCCUAUGCUCGGAUACAUUAGCAUGGAAUAAUGGAAUAGGACGCGCAGUUCUAUUUUGUUGGUUAUGGGACCGCCGUAAUGAUUGAUAGGGACAGUCGGGGGCAUCAGUAUUCGGCAGUCAGAGGUGAAAUUCUUGGAUCUGCCGAAGACUAACUACCGCGAAAGCAUUUGCCAAGGAUGUUUUCAUUAAUCAGGAACGAAAGUUAGGGGAUCGAAGACGAUCAGAUACCGUCGUAGUCUUAACCAUAAACUAUGCCGACUAGGGAUCGGACGAUGUUACUUACUGACUCGUUCGGCACCUUGUGAGAAAUCAAAGUCUGUGGGUUCCUGGGGAAGUAUGGUGGCAACGCUGAAACUUAAAGAAAUUGACGGAAGGGCACCACCAGGGGUGGAGCCUGCGGCUUAAUUUGACUCAACACGGGGAAACUCACCAGGUCCAGACACAAUAAGGAUUGACAGAUUGAGAG